UGGGGAAUAUUGCGCAAUGGGCGAAAGCCUGACGCAGCGACGCCGCGUGAGGGAUGAAGGUCUUCGGAUCGUAAACCUCUGUCAGCAGGGAAGAAAGUUAUAUGUGCUAAUCAGCGUGUAAUUGACGGUACCUGCAAAGGAAGCACCGGCUAACUCCGUGCCAGCAGCCGCGGUAAUACGGAGGGUGCGAGCGUUAAUCGGAAUUACUGGGCGUAAAGCGCUCGUAGGUAGUGUGACAAGUCAAGGGUGAAAUCCCCGUGCUCAACAUGGGAACUGCCUUUGAAACUGUUAUACUUGAGUGUGUGAGAGGAUAGUGGAAUUCCAGGUGUAGGAGUGAAAUCCGUAGAUAUCUGGAGGAACAUCAGUGGCGAAGGCGACUAUCUGGCACAUAACUGACACUGAGGGAGCGAAGCGUGGGGUAGCAAACAGGAUUAGAUACC
This 440-nucleotide ribosomal RNA is filed under the name uncultured bacterium. RNAcentral describes it as "bacterial SSU rRNA". It matches the Rfam family "Bacterial small subunit ribosomal RNA", at positions 355 to 786 of the family's 1533-position model. The record is from RNAcentral.